This 16068-nucleotide long non-coding RNA is filed under the name Populus tremula. RNAcentral's name for it is "long non-coding RNA (PTRE_LNC002904)". The record is from RNAcentral. Lineage: Eukaryota; Viridiplantae; Streptophyta; Magnoliopsida; Malpighiales; Salicaceae.
AAGGAGUGGCAUGCGGCCCGAAAGAAAGAAGCAAAGAGAGAGAAGGGAAUUGAAAUCACGCAGAAUUAAGUGGUAGUCUCAUCGUCUCCUCCAAACCAAAGCACCCCCUUCUCAGAGCCAAACCAUCAGCGAACGAGCCCUCACUGAAAAUCAAAUUUCACUUUGAUCCGAAGAAGAAGAAAUUCUCUCUCACUCAGAUCUGAUUACUCAGGUACGCUCUGCUCCGCUCUGUCUAUUUCUUUUUGUUUCUUGGAAUUUGUGGUUUCUAACUGAUUGAUUGAUUAUUAACUCUUUUUUUUAUUGCUCUGCUUAUCUACUCUUUGCGGAUCGGUUAGUACUUGGUGUUUUAUUUUUUCUUAUUUUGAAAGCACCUUUUUUUUGCUGCUCAUUUAUGGAUUUUUUUUUUUUUUAAUUUAGUGCAUGUUCUGAGAAUGUGACGAUUAAAGAUGCCUUAAUGAAUCUUUUUUAUGUAUAAUUUGCGUAGAGGUAGCUUAUUUUUAUCUUUUAUUUUGCAUAUGGUGAGGGCAUUGAGACUUACAUAUAGCAACAACUCUUUUGCUGGUAUCGAGGUCCUAUCAUCACAAUUGAAGAAGCUAGAGAACCUUGACCUGAGCUUUAAUAGAUUCGACGAUAGCGUUUUAUCACAUCUGUGUGGAUCUUCUUCACUCAAGUAUUUAAAUCUAACAGGCAAUAUUUAGGAUCAACAACUGUCAAUGGUAAAGUUGUGAAAAUUUAUUGGCAUCUUCUAGCUAAUUAGACAUAACUUUACCCAAACUUCAUUUUUUAGAUGCCAACCUAUUCAGCUCAUUUCUCAACAAUACAUUUUGAUAUUUUUAAAUAUCUCAAGCACAUCUCAACACAAAAACUUAAGAUGUAUAUUGGAUAAAACCUCAAGAAUAUGAUUUUAUUAUAUUCAUUAGUAGCUUGCUUUUUCAGAUGCUGUUAAUAUUAUGGGAUUAGUGAUUAAUUGCUCAUUGACUUAAACAAAAUCCUGCCGAGCAUCUUUUAUGGUAGUUGGUACCUCACUACCUCUAAAGCUCCUACUUAAAUACUGACCAUAAGCAUGUGAAAUUUGAAAAUCACAGGUAAAAUCAAAUCAAUCCACUUAGUAGUUCUCUUUAAAAGGUGUUCCCCUGAAAAUUUCAAAUAUGAUUUCAUUUUUAUUAUUUUAAAUACAAUAACAAUUGGCCAGUGACUGAUAUGGAUGAACUAGGUGGCAUUUCAAUAAUGAUGUUGUAUUUGUGACAAUAAUUUAUGAAUUAUCAUAGUGGGUUGUGCUGUGCAAAUCCAUGAGGAGGACAUGAAUUCUUAAUGUUUGGUUUAGCUGGUCGUAAUCGGUUUCUUCUAGUUUUGUCUUGAAUGUCAAAUGGUGUUUUCUAUGCCCGGAUGAGGGAGAAGUGAAUUUGUUGUGGAGUGUAGAAGGACUAAAAUAAGUUGAACUGGAUUUUUUUUUUAAUGAAUGAAUUAAUUGUAUGAUAGAUUCUGAUCAUACUAGAAAUUACUAGAAAAUCAAUUCUGUGGUGGCUUAAUUGUGUGACAUGGUGAUUUCUUAUUUUUAUCAACGAACUUAAGAGGGGUUUUUAAGGUUAAUAUUCCAUGGUUUAAUAUUACUCAAAAUAAGGAUUUGUAAACAAAUCCUAAACCGGCAACUGUGGUUUUAUGGAUGGGUUGUAUGAUAGAACAGCCGAAUCAAAAGCCUUUUUUUGAUGUCAAGUUCUGGAUGGUCCUUGUUACCAAUUGAGUUGAUAAAUUAUUUCAAUUAGGUAUAAUUUAUACAAAUUAGGGUAUAAGGAAACUAAUCAACUAGACUUCAUAGUUUCAUAAAGUAUACAUUUAAUCCAUCCAUUCUUAAAUUCGUUUCAAGUUCAUGUUAUUUUUCAUUUUUCAAUUUUUUUUUUUUUGGUUUUUUCUUGUUUUAAAAAUUAAAAAGAGAAGAGAAGCAGGUAAGUGGGAAAAGAAAGAAGGCAUGUUUGGGUUUUUUUUUUAAAAACCCUACUAAAUUGAAUAUGGUAAAGAGGUCAACUCUAGUAAAGGGGUUAUUUAAUUAUUGUCUAUACCACAGAGACUAAUUCAUUAGUUUUGAUAAACUAUAAUGAGUUAUUAUCCAUUAACUCCAAUUAUCUCCUUUAUUGGUUUACUACUGAACAAGAGAAGUGAUACAACUAUUUGUCUCUCGUCCCAUCUCAUUUCCUCUCUUUGCACCUCAGAAAAAAAAAAAUCAGUUCAGAAAGGCUUGUGUGAAUCUGAAAAGGCCCUUGGGAAUGGCAGCAAUUUACAGCCUUUACAUCAUCAACAAAUCAGGUGGUUUGAUCUUCUACAAGGUAAGAUGUUUACUUCCCUUCAAUUCGAUUACAACGGCAUUUUGGGGUGUGAUGCUUGAUUGGAUCAUGAUUGAAAGCAAUACAAGUGACUGACUACUUCUAAUAAUAACAAUUUGUGAUGUUUGAUGUUUGGGUUACUGUUGCAUUUUUUUUUAUAUAAUAAAAUAGGAUUAUGGAUCUUCUGGACGGAUGGAUACAAAUGAUAGCUUGCGAGUGGCUAGUUUAUGGCACUCAAUGCAUGCCAUCUCUCAGCAGCUAUCACCAACUGUUGGUUGUUUAGGCAUUGAACUCCUCGAAGCUGAUACCUUUGAUCUUCAUUGCUUCCAAUCACUCACUGGUAGCUACCUCAACCCUUUUAUUUAUUUAUAUAUUUAUUUAUUUACAAGCAUACUAGGUACAAUAUUAGAAAGAGAAAUGCUCUAUAAUUUACCAAGGUAUCAAUUUCGUAGUUAUUUGGUUAUUGAUAAGCCUGCCAUCUUAUGCUUAAUUGCCAAUUUCUUCUGUGUAGGAAUUUGGACACCACUUUUCUUAAUUUAAUGAACUUCAACCCUUUCAAAGUUAUUAUCAGCUAGCUGAUUGUUAGAUCCAAAUUUUUUUACCGGAAACUGCCACGUUCUGUAACAUAUGGAUUAUAGUGUUCUGAGCAUUGCUUGCUAUUUCCUAACUUUUGGUUCUAGUUAGCAUGCUUCAUUUUUUAAGGUAGAUGGGCUGGGUACUUGAGUAUUUAUUUGUGGCUGUUUUAUGUUCUUUAAAAGUAUCUCAAGUCCAUGUUUUUCAAACUAUGAAUUUGUAGUGACAAGCUCGUCGUUCCUCUUUGAAUACUUUUGAAUUUUCUUUUUAAACUUAUUUGGGUUUUUUCCCCUCUACAGGAACAAAAUUCUUUGUGGUGUGUGAACCUGGAACACAGCACAUGGAAGGCCUCUUGAAAGUCAUAUAUGAAUUGUACACGGAUUAUGUCCUAAAGAACCCGUUUUAUGAGAUGGAGAUGCCUAUACGAUGCGAGCUCUUUGACAUCAACUUGUCUCAGGCAAUACAGAAGGAUCGUGUUGCUUUAUUGGGGCGAUGAACUUUCUGGAUUUUGCUUCAAUAACUUUUGUUAUUUUUCAUUUUCAUUUGUGCAUUUGCCAUGAGAUCUUUCAAUUAUCUUUUAUGCUCUUCUUCUCCUUAGUGGCUGUUUGUUGGUGCGUUCAACUUGUUUUUCAUGAAAAUUUGAUUUUUUUUUCUUUAAAUUUAUUUUUAGUGUUUUCGGAUUGUUUUGAUGUGGAGAUAUCAAAAAUAAAAUAAAAAUUAUUUUAAUAUAUUUCCGAAUAAAAAUUAUUUUAAAAAAGUAACUGCUACCAGUCUACUAUAUUUCCAAAAACCUUCUAGUAUUUUUAUGAAAUUUGUGGGAUGUUGAUUGUUUAUGGAUGUCCAUCUGUGCAGGCGAAGUGUCUUUUCAAUGUUGCAGAAAAGUGCAAAAUUUGGCCUGCUUAAACAUCUUUUGCUCUUUGGAUGAGCUGGGGGUUUGGAGGGCAGCAUUUCCAAAAUGGGGAAACCCCCAUUUUUAGAGAAUUCAAAAAAAUUAUUGUAAUUUGGCUCCCUUCCCUCGCUGCAGAACCAGUUCAGGGUUGCAAUAAUGUGCGUAGGAUUGGCAUGGUUCGAAAACGUGCGUCUAUUUCGGCGCCGUUAUUUUUACCUCGUUAACAAACGGUUGCAAUAUCUAUUCUGAAUCUGAUUGGUGGAGAGAAAUUUAUGUUCUUUAUAGGUCUCUCUCGCACAAUUAAUUCUCUGUGAGAGAAUUUCUUCCACGUCGGAUCAAAGUGAAAUUUGAUUUUCAUUUAAGGUUUGUUUGCUGAUGUGGGGGGAGAGGGGUUUUUUUGGCUACGAGACGAUGAGGCUACCAGUUAAGAAACAAUUUAUAAACACUAUUUAUCCCUUAACAACUUAUAAUGGAUUCACGUGAUAAUUUUUUCCUGAUCUUUUAAUUUUUUUUAUCAUUUAUUUCUUUUUCAAUUCAAACCUUUGACAUUUGUUUUUUUUUUUUGAAGGUUAGAGUUUUAUAAAAAAAAUUUAUUUAAUUUAUUUUGGGUAUUAAGAAGAAAUCUAUUUCUCCUCUUGGAAACAUUGUCCAUCCUAAGUUAUUAUAGAUUCGUACACUCCUCACCUGAGAAGUUACUGUGAAUUCAUAGUAACUUGUUUUUUUUUUCCUUUCUAAUUUAGUCAUUUGAUAUUGUAUUUUUUUUUUUAUCAUUUGAAUUAUUUUUUUCCAAUUUAGUCAUUUGACAUUGUAUUUUUUUGGGAAUGAAUAUUAUAAUUUGUUUGUAUAUUAUCUAUAUUGGAAAAAAUAUCCUAACUUUUAAUUGGUGCUUGAAUUUACAAAACAAAAACCAGUUUUGUUGUAUGUAAGAGAUUUAGAGUUGGGGGAUAAGAAUGGCAAUUUUUUUAAAAAUAAAAAAGUAGUUCCGGCACCUUCUAGCCUUAAAAAUUGUCUAUAAAUCUCCUUUUUUGCUCUAUAUUUUUAUUAUUUUAUAAAAUCUUUUAUUAUAUUAAUAGGCCUGCGUGUUCAUUUUUUGGUGUUAAAAGAUAUUGGAUCUGACCCGUGAAAGAAGCAGAGUGACCUAACUAGAUAUUAUUAUAUUUAAUAUUGUUCAAUUUUUAUUGUGUUUUCUUAUUUGUGUAUAUAUAUAUUUUUUUAUUUGUGUAUAUUUUUUUAAUAUUAGUAAGUGUUGUUUUUUGAAACUCAUUAUAGGCGUUCUUUUUAUAUUAUAUUCGGUUAUUUUAUUAUGAUAUAAUCAAAUAAAAAAAUAAUUUUAAAAUAAACAAAAAAAAACUCGGUAUUUUUCUUUUCUUGUUGUUGUUAAUUAAUUUUCUUUGAUUAUUCAUAAUAAUUCCAUGCCCCAUGCCCGCAUUGUUUCUAUCACUCUCCUCCAGUUACUCGCUUGUCUCUUCUUUUGUAGUCGAAUUUACUCUCUCGCCCUCUCUCUCUAAUUAUACUCGUCGAAUUUUACUAAACCUCUCUUACCUGAUGAUAACCUGCUGCUUGGUAUUUCUGGUUUUUGUUGUUGUUGUUGUAUAUUUUUUAUUGGUUUUUUUAUCAAAUAAAAAAAAAACCUAACUAGUUUUCACAUAAUCAGUCAAUCUUGAACUAUUUUUUGAGCUUGAGAUAAAAGAGCCGAUCACCGAUGCAGACCUCGACUCAUGCGAGUUGACUCAAUGGAGAAGUUUAAGAGAUUCUACUAGAAAGUUUUAAGCAUUUUUAAGAACUCUUUUGGUUUUAUUUUUAAAAACCUUUUGUUAUAGUAUAUGUUUGAUAUUGUGGUAACUAUAUAGUUAUUUUUUUAAAAAAAUAAAUUUAAAAAACACUACAAAUUGUAGCUUCUUUACCGGCUUUUGAGUAGCCAAGAGUCGGACCUUCCAAUACGGUGCAUAUUUACAUUUUUCCCUCCUUUUAAUUUGUUUUGGUUGAAUUUGAAUGUGAUUUAAAAUUUUGGAAAACUAGCACUGUAAAUUGUUUUUAGAAAAACAACACAAUUUAAUAAAAAUCAUAAGUGAAAGGUAUGUUUUUUUAAAAAAGUUGUUGUUGUAAAGUGGGGCAUUUUAAACAAAGAGUUAAAAUGGCCUACAUAAAUUUCAAUAAAACAAAAAAGAAAGAAUGAGAUUCUAUGGAUAAGUAAACCUUUGAUGAGAAUAUCUUAAAAUCAUUAAAAAAAAACUUUAAUGAAAUGAAUCUAAUAAUAUUAAAAAAAUUAUUAAUAAUAAUUGAAAUGAAUCACGGUAUUUUUAAAUAGAGAUAUGUGAUCAACUUGUAUUUUUUGUAAUACGUGUUACCUACUCUAAUUAUUGUUGAUGAUUUUUUUUAUAGUUGUUAAAUUCAUUUCAUCAAAAUAUUUUUUAAGAUAUAAAAAAUGUCAUGAUCAAAAUUUUAUUAUAUUUUGGUGUUUCAUUCUUUUCUUUUCUCUUUUAAUUCCUUCAUUUUUCUUAAAAUUUGUAUAAGAUAAUUUUAAUAAUUUAUUUAAAAUAUUGCUACUUGAUUACGAGUUUUUUAGAAGUCGUAGUUUGCAUCUAUAUUUUUUAUUAAACUGUGUUAUUUUUUAAAAAUAAAAAAAUAAAAUUGCCAUAUUUUAAACAAUUUGCAAUUAUUUAAAAAAACACUCAAAUAUUUGUGAAAUAACAGAACUAUCCCGUAGCAAAAAAGAAAAGCAACACCCCUCCAUAAAGAUCCUAUUUAAUAUUAUAAUAAUAAUUUUAAAAAAAAAAUAUAAAAAUAAUAUUUUUUUUAAAUUUUAUUUUUAAUAUCGUAAUAUCAAAAUAAUUUUAAAAUAAAUAAAUAAAUUAUAACAAACCACGCGUUCAAAACAAACAGUAUCGAAGUCUAAUUCAAUACAACUGCCUGCCCUUGUAACGAGCACACUAUAAAAAAGGUCACGGGCUUGAUUACAGAAACCGUCAAACACAGCCAUAUCCAAAAGGUAAAAGAUCAUCCUCUCCUUUCUCUCCUCUAAUCCAUCUCCAAAUGCAACAAAACAUGUCCACAAAAAGACCCACCGCCAUCUUUCUCUUCCUCCUCCUUGCACUCCUCCACGACCGAAUCCAUGCAAGCCCGAUAAAAACUGUAGUGGUAGUAGUGAUGGAAAAUCGUUCUUUUGAUCACAUGCUGGGUUGGAUGAAGAAAAUCAACCCUGAAAUCAAUGGUGUUGAUGGCACUCAAUGGAAUCCAUUGAACAUAAGCGAUCCAAGUUCGCAGAAAUUCUUCACCAACAACCAAGCUCAGUAUGUUGACCCUGAUCCUGGCCACUCUUUUCAAGCAAUAAGGGAGCAAAUAUUUGGGUCUGAAGACACAUCCAAGAAUCCUCCUCCCAUGAAUGGCUUUGCUCAGCAGGCUUUCUCGAUGGACGCAUCAACCAGCUUGUCUCGGGAUGUCAUGAAUGGAUUUGAGCCUGAUGUGGUAGCCGUGUAUAAGACACUUGUAUCUGAAUUUUCUGUCUUUGACAGGUACAGCUACUUUUUUGUCGGUCCACUUUUAAGUAAUUUACUACAUCAAGAUUCCGUUUCAAUGAUUUCGAUGUAAACAUACUGAUAUUUCUCUACCCGAAAAUAUAAUUCAGUGAUGUCUUUAUUAAUCUCAGGAAUGCCCCAAUGGCAACUAGAUUGAAUUUCAGCUUAUAUUCUUCUCAUAACAACAAAUCAGAGAGAGAGAGAGAGUAUUUGAUGGAUAUGGUUUUCAUGUUGAAAUCAGUAGGAAUCUGAUUUUUUUUUUUUUAAAAAAACAAUUAUUGCAAGUGUUUUGAAUAUGACACAAUUUUAUUUUUUAUUUUGAGAAAAUAACGUGGCGUUUUAAUCCUCCAAAUUAAUAUGCGUGCGUGUUUAUACUUGUAUAUCUUUUAUAUAUUUAGGAAAAAAGAGGUUUUUUUGGAAGUAUUCAAUUAAUUUAUAAACUUCGAAGUAUCCACUUAGCUAUACUUUUUGGUUAAUUUAUUGCACAAACAUUUGUAUAUUGUUGACAUGAUUUCGCGAUUACUAGUAAAAGCACAUGCGAUGUCUAAUUUAACCAAAAAAAAAACAUCCUGCCCUGUCAGGUGGUUUGCUUCUGUGCCAUCAUCCACACAACCCAACCGUCUAUUUGUUCAUUCAGCCACAUCCGCCGGAGCCACCAGCAACAUCCCGGCAUUGCUCGUCAAGGGGUACUCUCAAAGAACAAUUUUCGAGAACCUUGACGAUGCUGGAAUAUCUUGGGGAAUAUACUAUCAGAACAUUCCCGCCACAUUGUUUUAUAGGAACCUAAGGAAGCUCAAGUACAUCACUAGAUUCCAUCCUUAUGGCAUGUCGUUUAAAAAACAUGCAAAACAAGGCAAGCUUCCUGGUUAUGUCGUGCUUGAGCAGCGGUACAUGGACAUCAAGAUAUCUCCUGCCAACGACGAUCAUCCUUCCCAUGAUGUCUAUCAAGGGCAAAUGUUUGUCAAAGAGGUACUCAUAAACUUUUUUUAUAUAUAUAUUUAAGUCAUUCGUACGUAUUCACAUAUUCCAUACACGUUCACAAGUAUGCAAAGAUUGCAUUAAUUAAUCUUUCAUUAGAGAGUCUACCUCAUUAUUGAGAUUGUUCUGAGCUAUAGUUUCUCUUAAAACGGAUGUUUACUUUUCUUUUCUUUUUCAAAUUGUCAAAAAUUAAUGUUCUUGUGAUUGUCAAUAUUGCAGGUGUACGAGACACUAAGGGCAAGUCCACAAUGGAACGAAACUCUAUUGGUAAUCACAUAUGACGAGCAUGGUGGGUUCUAUGAUCAUGUGGCUACACCUGUGAGUGGGGUCCCUAGUCCCGAUGGGAUUGUGGGACCUGAGCCAUUUUUUUUCAAGUUUGAUAGACUUGGGGUUAGAGUUCCUACAAUCGUGGUCUCACCUUGGAUAGAGAAGGGAACCGGUAAGUAGCAUAUCACUUUCAAAUCUCAACCAUCUCUCUCUCUUUUUCCUUUUUAGAGAUUUUAGCUUACCGAACAGGAUAAUAUCAUCGCGGGCAUCAUAUUCCUAGCAUUAUCAUGUAUGAUCAAUGGCUAACUUUACUUGAAUGUUACUCGCAGCAUCACCUUUACGUACGACUAACUGUUAGUUUAUGUGCAAGAUAUAUAUGCUACCUAUUUCACACUGCUUUUGAUACGAAAAGAGAACAGGUGACCUUCCACUUCUCUCGUGUUUUUAGUACUCAUCCAUCGUCAAUGUAUAUGCAAUGUGAAACGAAAUCCUUGUGGAUGAAAAUCAGGCUAGCAAAAAGUGAGAGUUGCCAAUUUGUCACUUCUCUUCUUUUUCCCAACCAACGAAACAUGCGAGGAAAUUAAUUAUGGGGUGGUUAGGGUGUCGUUGAGUCCUUUCCCGUUUGGACAGAAACUUCGGGAAAACUGGGUGCAAGUUUUUUUAUGACACCGUCUUAAAAGUUGCAUGUAGUUGAAAGAAAGAGCGGAAAGGUGGUGGAUUUCUGCUUUGUUGCUGAAAAAGGUUUUGCGUGCAAGAGAUCGAGGAAUAUGUAUCACUAACUAAGCCAACAGGUAGCCUAACAUGAGCACGGAUCUUCAUCGAUCAUGCUUUUCUAGUUUACUUUUCGAGAUUGAGUCCAUCAUAUUGUGGGCCCGUGAUAAAACCCAAAAGUACUGGGACUCGAACGAAAAAUAGACCGAAAUUUCAAGCUUCUUAGCAUAACGUUAGUAUCAGAGGCAGUUCCUAUGAUUAUGAUCAUUUUGUAGCGAUUGAUGUUGUUUUCUGAAAACUCAGGAUCUCGAGUGUGAGUUUUUUGAAUGGAAGGCAUGGCCAUUUAUCAAUGUAUAGCAUCAUCAUGCAAUGCUUUUGCUGAUUAUUGACAAAUGAAAAAAUUAACCAAAAAUUGAUAAAUGUUACUUCGGCAUGGUGAUGCAGUUGUCCAUGGACCCAAUGGGUCACCAUUUUCAACUUCAGAAUACGAACACUCAUCCAUUCCUGCGACGGUGAAGAAGCUCUUUAACAUGCCCUCUCCUUUCUUGACAAGGAGGGAUGAAUGGGCGGGUACCUUUGAAGGAAUCUUACAGACUCGGACUGAGCCCAGAACUGAUUGCCCAGGUCAGUCACCUAACUCGUUUUCCAAGCUGAAUUCUUUAGCUUUUUGCUAACUGUUUAUGUUCUCAUCCGCUCUUCUGAAUAGAGCAACUACCAACUCCAACUCAGGUCAGGAAGAGCGAGCCCAAUGAAGAUGCCAAGCUUACUGAAUUCCAGCAGGAGCUACUACAGCUUGCAGCUGUGCUAAAAGGAGAUCAUAUUUUGACGAGUUACCCUGACAAAAUAGGGAAGGAAAUGACAGUCAAGCAAGGGAAUGAUUACAUGGAGGAUGCACUGAAACGAUUCUUCGAAGCAGGACUUUAUGCUAAAAGCAUGGGAGUCGAUGAAGAACAAAUUGUUCAAAUGAGGCCCUCCCUCACUACGAGACCAUCCAAACCAACCAAUCAUCCAUGAAGAUCGUUGUUACAUGCUCGGCAACAUUAGCUAUUGUAUCCACAGCUAAAAAAAAGAAAAAGAAAAAAGAAUUCCUCCUUUUCUUACUCUACUGAGAGUGUUUUAUAAUGAUAUUGAGCUUAGGAUUACUAGAUCCCAGGAAAAAAAUCCAUUACCCUUACAAACCCAGAAAAGUUUUAAUCGGUGCCGACACAUUAACAAAACGCAAUUGGAUAGCCAUAGAGAUGGUUUCAAAUUUUAAUCCUCAGUCCAGGACUCAUAUGAUUGAAACCUAAAGCUUGCAGAAUAAGAGCUCUAUGGGGUUCACUUAAACCAUGCCAGCCUGGAGAAACACAGAACCACUAAAUCUCACACCUCCAAAGUCAGACGCACUCUUCAUGGUUAGAUAUAUGUUUUUAGUUAUCUCAGAGUAUUGUUCAUCAAAUUAACCUGCCCACUGGCUUUCAGGACAACUUCUUCGCCAUUGUUUCAUAAACAGCAAGGAGCAUCACAAACUGUGAAAGCAAGAAAGUCUCAAUUUACAGGUCUGAAAUAUUCAAAAUUAACUCAGCACUAUCUCAAGUGUAGCAGAUAUGUGUACAAAAAGAAUUCAGAGUCCCUGAUUAAUUCACAAAGUGUCACUAACCAAAGAUCCCUCUUUUGUGAAGGCAUUCCUAUUUUCAUAUACCACUCUUUUGUUACCGAGUAGAUCGUAUAAGUGAAUCUCUUCUGGAGGAUAUUACACUGAACCACGAAUCAAUGUGCUCAUGAUCCACAUAUAGAUCUCAGCCACUGUUCGAUGAGUCCCAGCCUGGAAUGUUAGCUGUAGCCUCAUUCACCAUCUUUACAAGUCUCACCUGCAGAGAAUCAUGAUGAAUGGAUUGUUAAGUCAAUGAGAGGGACGGGGAGCAAAUAAAGUGCCUUCGCAUCCAUGGUCUAUGUUUUAUGCAAAUGACAACAUAGUAUAAUGACUUGUAAUCCAGAUAUGAAUCCCCAUCUUAACCAUCAGUUCCCAUGGGAUAAGUGACUACGAAAAACAGUAUAUAUAACAGAACCCUUUAUUUCACACCGGAUAAGGAUGACAUCAGAGACCAAGAAUGCUUUGAUAAACUUAAUGUAUGUAUGUUUUGGUUUCUUUUCACCUAGGAUGUUAGGUCCAUGUAGUUUUUCAUUGUGUUGGAUGGAGACCAAACAAGGCUUUUGCUCUAUACUACAUAAUAACAUAGACAGACAGUUUCACAUUGCAAGUGAUCAGGAUGGUUAGCAUGCCAAGUUGAUAUUACAUAUGGUUCGAUACAAACCAAAACCUUGACAAAUAAAUGGUUGAUGUAAACGAUUCCAAUCGAUGCAUCAAAUAGUUUAUUAUAUGCAGCUUUUCAGGGAAAUCAUCAUGGACAAUGCAGGUUAGCCUUCUACAAAUUAUCAAUUCAUUAUUUAAUUUUUUUCCUUCUGUACAGGGAUGGCAAUUCUCUUGUACAUCUCCAGUGCAUGGAUAAAGCCCAGUUGGCUACUAAUUCGUACAUACUCCUUGAAAAACAAGUUCAACCCAUGCAUUCAAGCAUCCCCAUUAUAGCACGUAAACAAAUAAUUGCGUCUGUGUGAGGGCCAUUUUGAGAAAGUUGAACUUGGCCAACUUAUUACAACCUUUAUCAAAUAUCGUAAGUUUUAUCCACAAGUGCUGUGUAUUCUAGUUCCAGGUAGACUUAAUUUUAAUAUUUUUCCUCCAAGCCCACUCAUCAAACAUGAAUUUUUUGACAUCAGUAUAAUAUGAUUUCCCCAAUUGUCACUUGUAAAAAAUCUAGUUGUGAACAUACCACGCUUUCAGGAACUCCUGGUGGGGGCAGGGUGAGGUUCUUUGGUGGAGGACCACUGAGAUAGGAUCUCUUGUCAAACCGCCAUUCUCCAAUCUUUCCAUAUGUUAAUUCUCCCUGAAAAAUCAACAAAUUAUGGUAAACAAACUAAGAAUCAAAUAUCGGUUGUUUUUAUGAAACUACUUGUCAAAAACAAACAAACAGAAAUAGAAGGUGAAGAAUAUAGUUAAAACAUCAAAAUCAGAGGAGAUAAGAGUAAAUAUGAGAGAGAGAGAGAGAGAUCCCUUUCUUUACCUUCAUAUUAUAGUCGCAUCCAUAAGUAUAGUGGAUGAUAAAUCUCUUACCAACUUCCAAAUCCCAUGGAGGCUGAAACAUAAAUGGAUAUAGGCAACUCUUUAAAAAUGACUUCACAAAAUAGAGAGAUACAAGAAGCAUUAGCAUAUGCCAUAGAUACCUGUAGCAUAAAGUCUUUACGAAGUAUAUGCCGUACACCAUGCAAUGCUGAUGCUACAGCAUAGGCAUACCUUAUAUCAACAGAGACAUGUGAGCAACAUUGAAGUAUUCCAACCAUUCAAGAAUUAAAUUUCAUUAGCAAAAUAGAAAGAAUCAUAUUAUAUAUUACUCACAUCUCUAGCACCCAACCAAAUGCUUUAUCAGUCUCUGGGUCAUCUUUCAUUCUUAACGAAACAUUCAUCCAUGUUGGCGCAAUUUCCUCCAGCAGGGACUGUAAAGAUACAGGUAGUUCAUCCAAUGUUAAUAUGGAAAUAUUGUUUCAAGUAAACGAAAAUAGUCCAUCUCAAUGGUCGCGAUAAUAGUGAUAUUCUGACAACAAGGACAGUGGUGCUUCGUAUAAACAAUGGUUAGCACUAUGGGUUUCUAACUGAAUUUCAAAUUAUAUUCCCUCAAUAUUGGGAUUCUGAUAACAAACAUGGAAACACAAAAUAUUCUCAGAAGUUCAAUUGGUUUAAACUGGCUGCAAUUGCAAUAAGAGUUGUACCUUUUUUAUUAUUACAGGGGAAUUGCCAAUUGGAUCAACAUCCGUCACAGGACCCUUCUCCUCAGGAUAAAACUUUCUAACAAUUUUCUGAUGUUCAGUUGGUUUAAUAUAGAAAAAUGGAAACCCUGCUGGAUUAUCUCCAUGUGCCAAGUUAGGCAAAGGAUUUGCAAAUAUGUGGUCAGGCUCUGCCAUUAGAAUGUAUCUGUUUUUAUCACAAAGUGCUUCUGUAUCAGUCUUAUAAUCACCAGUUGUCAGAUGUCAUAAAGCAAAAGCAAGAAAAAAAGAAGAAAAUGAGGACCAUAACUUUAAGAACUUACUCUUCCUCAAUUGUUGCCUUUUCCAGCCAUUGCACAAAAGCCCAUGGUCUAUUCAAGACAAUAUAUCCCUGGACAGAGCAUGAAAUGGCCAUAUGAGCAAAUUGUGUAAUUAACUAAUUACUGAUAGCAGUAAACCAUGAGCAGAGACUGUUUUCCUCUAAGAUUUGGAAAAGGCAGCGAUUUGGCUGGGAAACACAUUAAGAGUCUGCAUCACUGCUCGCAUAAGUCAAUCUAAAACAACUUUGCAUAAGAAAUGUCAAGUUUGAUGGCAUGCCCCAGAGAUAUAAUGGAAUAAAAUGAAAAUUGACUCAAUAUAAUUCAUGCUAUUGAUGCACAGAACACCUCCUGGAUCUCUUUAUAAAUUACCAAGAACAUUUUAAAUUCACAAUACUACAAUAUGUAAGGCUAGAAGCAAAAUCAAAAAAACAUCUGAGACCUAUAAAUUUCCCAAAGCAAAUUCAAGUUCACGAUAAUUUUAACUUGGAAAUCAACAUGUAACUGAAUAAAAGCCGGUGAAUAAAUAUAAGCAACAGCGAAAGUGAAAACAGAAAAUCUCACCCGAUCUCGGCCCUCUGGAAGAGGAUCAACAACAAAAGUUGGAAUCUCAUCCAUCAAAUGAUCACCUUUCCCCGAAUGCAAAACUCGAGUGAACUUCCCCAUGUCUGAUCCUGGCAUGCUUUUCAUUUUCUUAUACCAAUAAUACAUAAUCCGGCAUUGCCAUUGACUAUAAGGAGCAUCAGUAGCCGUAAGAGCAACAUGGAAUUUCAAAUUUGACUUCCCUAAUUUCCAAGAAUUGGCUGGCAUCCCUGUAACAGGAUCAGAAAUCCCUGAUCGAAGUCCUGUACUAGAAUCCUUAUAUUGUAUUACCAAAGUCAACAAGUUAUACGUGGCAAAGAAAAACCCUAGUGCUAAAAGCACCAAUAGCAAUGGCGACGCUCGCCCCAUAUUUUUUCUCCCAAUCAUCUUGAACCCCCCCCAAUACACAGAAACUAAAUUCCAACUCUCUUCACAAUUCACAAAGUCAAUCAAACCUCAAUUAUGCUAUCUACAAUAGCAUUUAAAUACAAAUCCAGAUAUUAACAUAUUUAAACCACUCCAAUUCACAUCUCCAACACACAAUUUCACCAGCUAAAACUCCACUAUCUUUUCAAAACAUCCAAUGGGUCAAUCACAAACUUAAAUAAAAAGCCACGAACCAAUCUGCAUUAUAAUAACAAUUAAACAAAAAACAACGAGUCAAUAACAUAACACAAAGAUAUACCACCCUGUUCUCAUUAUCAAACAGAGCUUAAACAUGAAACCAAAAAAGAAAGCAUAAGUCUUGGUGUCAAACAAUGAUAACUCUAAUGCAAAAACAAAACCCAGACGUCAAAAAAUGAAAAUCCAUGCAAGAAUCAGAGCUCAAGCUCAUCAAAAUAAAUAUAUAAAAAAUACACAGAUCUGUUGAAGGGUUUUUCCUUUUUGUUUACCUGAUCAGAGAGGAGCAAAAGAGGAGAUUCUGGGUUUAGUCAACUCUUUGCUAAAUGAAUAACGCGGAGAAGGUUUGGUUGACAUCAAGCGAAACUGAGAGAGUUAGAGGUAACUGAAUGCUUAAUAAAUUAAUUAAUUUAUUGUGAGUAUUAAAGAAUAAAAAUAAUGGCGUUUUCAAUACUUGUCCAUCAAUUAAUUAGGUGGAAGCUGAUGUGGCUAUGGCUGGAUUUAAGGAGGCGGCGAGCAUUUGGAUUUAGUUCGUGUUUACCGUAUUUUAUAAAAUUUUGAAAAUUCAUUUUUAUUUAUAUUUUUAGAUUAUUUUAAUAUACUAUUGUCAAAAUAAAUUUUAAAAAAUAAAAUAUUAUUUUUAUAUAUUUACAAACAAAACAAUACUUUAAAAAACAAUUCCUUCCACCCUCCAAACACUACCCUAAAGAAUUUUCUUUCUAAUUUUUAAAUAGCGCAUUUAAAUUUGUCUCAAGUCCUAAAUUCGAAACCUAAUUUUGUUGUAAAGCAAAAACCACAUCAUAAUAUAAAGAUGGAAGAAUAAUUGGAUAGAAGGAUCGUCAGCUAGUAGCCUGGUACAAGGAUAAUGAAUUCGGAGGCUAGGUUUCCCUUUUCUCAAGACAAACAAGAGGGGUCUCGAGAUCGCAGAGCCCUGCUCUCGUGAGUGCAAGUUUAUGAAUGGUGUUUCUCGAGUUGAAAAUGACCUCUACCGACUGAGGGCGUUGAUUUUGACCAAUCAAAUUUAUGUAGAGGGCUCAGCAUGAGAUAUUAUAGUCAUAAAUUCUUACAAGCUAUAAAUCGAACGACAACCUUUUCGGUACCCUCAUAAAAUAAAAGGGUUUGAAAGGGUCUUCUUGGCCCUUGCGUUGUAGCAUCCUAACACGUCAUGUUCAAUAUUGAUAUUCUACAAGCAUAGAUAAUGACCGGUUAAAAUUCAAUUUAAUUAAAAAAUAUAUUUUAAUAUGUAAUUUUUUUUAAUAUUAAGAUAAUAAAAUCUUAAAAUUACUAAAAUGCUCAAAUUAACUUAUCAAACUUAUAAUUUGGUUCAUAAACUUUACUAAGUUUAAUAUUUUUUUUUAAAAUAAUUUUUAUUUAAUUAUAUAAUAAUAAAAAUAAAAAAUAAUAACAAAGAAACUGAAUAAGCUAGAUAAAAAAAACAAUGAAUUAAACAAAAAAAACAAGUUGUAAUUAUUUUUUUUUAUUAGAAAACACAAUAAGAAAUC